RNAcentral lists this ribosomal RNA (411 nucleotides) under Triticum aestivum (bread wheat). RNAcentral describes it as "partial small subunit ribosomal RNA". The record is from RNAcentral. Lineage: Eukaryota; Viridiplantae; Streptophyta; Magnoliopsida; Poales; Poaceae.
AUGGAAGCAAGUGCUGAAAGCACCCACCAAGUUAUCUGCAUCCUGAACACAUACGAAGUGGUCUCAAGCUAGAUGGUGAAUAAAGAAAAAUCGUCAAUUCUUUUCAGCAAAAACACAAGGUCGAAGAAGAAAGAGGAGAUGAAGAAUAUAAUGCAUAUUACCUCUGAAGGUCUAACGUCAAAGUACCUGGGAGUUCCAUCAUAUGUUGGAAAAUCCAAAUCAAGGACAUUCGAUUAUGUGAAAGAUAGGGUGUGGAAGAAGAUUCAAGGUUGGAAGGAAAAACUGCUAUGUAAACCGGGAGAAGUAGUAAUAAAGGAGGUUGCACAAGCAAUUCCGGUUUAUUUGAUGGCAUGUUUCGACCUCACUAAAUCAGUAUGUGAGGAACUAAGCGCUAUGAUUAAUAGGUACUAG